Molecule: ribosomal RNA, 552 nt
Filed under: uncultured crenarchaeote
Lineage: Archaea; Thermoproteati; Thermoproteota
Description: bacterial SSU rRNA
Rfam family: Archaeal small subunit ribosomal RNA
Source: RNAcentral
ACGGGGUGCAGCAGGGGCGAAAACUUCGCAAUGUGCGAAAGCGCGACGAGGUUAAUCCGAGUGCCGCCCGCUGAGGGUGGCUUUUCUCAGGUGUAAAUGGCCUGAGGAAUAAGGGGAGGGAAAGCCUGGUGUCAGCCGCCGCGGUAAAACCAGCACCUCAAGUGGUCAGGAUGAUUAUUGGGCCUAAAGCAUCCGUAGCCUGUUCUGUAAGUUUCCGGUUAAAUCCAUUAGCUCAACUAAUGGGCCGCCGAAAAUACUGCAGAACUAGGGAGUGGGAGAGGUAGACGGUACUCGGUAGGAAGGGGUAAAAUCCUUUGAUCUAUUGAUGACCACCUGUGGCGAAGGCGGUCUACCAGAACACGUUCGACGGUGAGGGAUGAAAGCUGGGGGAGCAAACCGGAUUAGAUACCCGGGUAGUCCCAGCUGUAAACGAUGCAGACUCGGUGAUGCGCUGGCUUGUGGCCAGUGCAGUGCCGCAGGGAAGCCGUUAAGUUUGCCGCCUGGGAAGUACGUACGCAAGUAUGAAACUUAAAGGAAUUGGCGGGGGAGCAC